This is a long non-coding RNA of Brassica napus (rape), 1835 nucleotides long. RefSeq lists it as uncharacterized. The transcript is spliced from 4 exons. The record is from RefSeq and is a predicted model, not a curated record. NCBI's taxonomy places the organism in Eukaryota, Viridiplantae, Streptophyta, Magnoliopsida, Brassicales, Brassicaceae.
CAUUGUAGAUGCAAUGCUCUAAGAUACGCCUCUUGAUGCCAUCCGUCGCUUUUUUGGGUAGACAAUUUCUUCACCCUCUUCCAUGCCCUGUCGCUGACGAAGAACCCCGCUUUCUCUGAGGUUUCCUAAUCAGAGAUGGAGAUUGAUUCCGUCGCAGCUGGAGGAGCUCUUAAACCAAAUGGAGAUCGAUUCCGUCGAGACGAGGAACCCCACUUUUUGAUAGGUGUAGGCGAUUACAGAUGCAAAGAGGCAAGGUUUAAUCCCCGGAGCCGUCCGCUUCACCUUCCCAUCACUUGCUCUGUCUCUCCAUCAAACCACCACUUUCUCUGUCUCUCCGUCAAACGAUGAACCAUCCUCCAGUAGUUUUAGUGUUUUUGAGCUUAAAUUUUGUCACUUUGAAUUGAAAAAGAUAAGAUAAUGAUUGAUUGUGAGAUUGUUAAACUUAAAGGACAAAGAUUUCUUAUGUCUGUAGUCUGACAAUAGAAUUUCAAGGACUUAGCUUCUAUCUUUUGAUUGGUUCUCUAAAGGAAAUCACUUUUUUUUUGUUUGGAUGAUAGACGUGAAGAAGAAGACGUUGGUGAGGAGGAAUGACGUGAGGAAUAUAGCAAUUGUAGCUCAUGUUGAUCAUGGCAAAACUACUUUGGUUGAUUCUAUGCUUAGGCAAGCUAAGGCAAGGAGCAAAUUUAGUGUUGGAGCUAGGGCCUUGCAAAGACUGUGAGAGGUAUCAGUACAAGAGUUUCGAGCUCAACAUCGUCGUCUCGCUGCGUGUUUAGCUGGCGUCUCUCUUCUUUGUGUUUCUCAUAACUUGAGAAAGCAUGAGAUUCAAAAUUUUCUCUUCAUUGAUCUGCUCAGUGGUCGUAUGGGACGGCUCAAGGCUCAGUAUAUUCAGCAAACUCGAACUCUGUGAGAUAAGCACAUACGUUUGCGUCAUUACCUCUCUAAGAUAAGCCACAGGUUCCGAAUCUUUCUGAUUCUACAGUUUCUGGUCGUCACUGUUAGCCAGUUUACCACGCUUUUCCAGACCACUGCGUAUAGCGGACGUAUCACGUAUAUAAACGGUGGUGAUUUCGCGGUCUCUGAGGUGGUCCAAGUUGUUGUGAUUAUUUUAUGUCUGCACGCAGCAACGAAGAUAUCUCAUAGAGCUCAAGCGAUAGCAUCAGUUGCAAGUAAAUGGCAUGCGAUAAUGUUGUGCUAAUCUACGGAUACAACUCAGAUAAGGACUUCUCCUAGUGGAGUUCACUUGGAAGCCACCACAAAUCCACCCAUCUCCUUUCAGAAUUAGCUCUGGUGGUAAAUUCUCACAGCUGUUAGUUCUGCCACCUGGGUUCGAAAUCCGGUCACUGGGGAAUUUACUUGCGGAUUUUUUAGCGUCCGAGACCGAAGACCGUUCACGGUGAACCACAUGGUGACGUCCUGGCAGCGUCCUUACUCGUUUCGGUCUCUAGUAUGGACCACUACGGUGGGACCAAGACACUCGGAUAUGAAAAAAAAAAGUUUGAGGUAAGAUAUCUUACGUGAUGUAGUUGUAACUUGUAAGUGUUUAUUUUGGCUGAUGCCAAUAUUAGAAAUUUACAAUACAUGAUGUAGGGGAAUGUGAUGAGUGGGGCCCACAUUUGAAAAUAAGAUACCAGAACAAGGUUCCUUUUUUUGUAAAUUGCUUCUCUUUCAACAAGUAAAUGAUGUACUUUGUAAGCAGAAAAAAAUAAUCUUCAUAAGGUGUAAAUUAGAUCUAUCUCACGGGUUUCUCUCAUAUAACUAUGGAUUUUAAGUGAUUUGAAUUUGUGUAGCACUGAGAUAUUGACGGUAAACUUUAUAUAUAUCUUCCUGUCACUGCA